RNAcentral lists this long non-coding RNA (843 nucleotides) under Eptatretus burgeri (inshore hagfish). Its description in RNAcentral is "lncRNA (ENSEBUG00000017297.1)". Lineage: Eukaryota; Metazoa; Chordata; Myxini; Myxiniformes; Myxinidae. The record is from RNAcentral.
GGGGGGGAAUAAACCUCGAAGAAGGCCGGAAAGAAUCAAGGUCAUAAGCAUGACCUCUCCAAGCCAAGCCACUACAUCAGAUCUGAGCUCCGGAGAUGAGAGCAGAAUGAACGACAUGCAGGAGAGAGGCUCACCUGUCGAUCACUUCAGUGACAGUGAUGCUUCAUCACCCACCUCCGACCUGCCAGAAGGGCCUCGCAGUGGGUACAGCAGUCCGCUGCCUCCGGUUUUCUGUACCUCGGCAAAUGGACAAGCAAACCAUCCUGGGAGAACCGAUUCCAGGCUGGUCCUGGUCUCUGCCUCUCAAGAUCUGACAUCGGAUGUGUCGAGGAGUCAUGGGAAGUUUGGCGGGAGCACCGGACAUCAGCAUGGUCGACUGGGAAAGGGAGGCCACGGCACACGUGGGCUGAGGGGCUGCAGGGAGCUCGGGAGGCUUGCUGGGGUGGCAGCCGGGGAGGAAGAUGAGGAAGAGGACACGGAAGAAUGCGAACCGCUCAGCCAGAGGAACAAUGUCAACCAGGAGCGGUUGAAGGCUUUUAACGAGCUGUCAAGCGCAGACCCUGGAAGAUGGACGUGGCAUGUGAGAGGAUGCAGUAUUGGGGUGAAGAAGAGGCCGCCGAUAUGGCUAUGUAUGAUGCCGAUUGAUGCUGCGUUGUAUUGUGUUCAAAAGCCUACAUCUCCUUAGAUGUGACUCAGUCAUCUUAAUACAGUGUAUCAUGGUGGUGUACAAGACUGCUUCAGUGACACUAAACUUCCGGAUUUAUUUAAAGGAUCUUUAAAAUCAUUAUUUUAUUAAAUUGGAUGCAUAUAUUGAAACACUGCGCAUGGUAUCGUGUUUUAUAA